This 397-nucleotide ribosomal RNA is filed under the name uncultured bacterium. RNAcentral describes it as "bacterial SSU rRNA". It matches the Rfam family "Bacterial small subunit ribosomal RNA", at positions 28 to 417 of the family's 1533-position model. The record is from RNAcentral.
GACGAACGCUGGCGGCGUGCUUAAUACAUGCAAGUCGAGCGAGGCCCAUCCAGUGGCAACACUGGGGAAGGCCGAGCGGCGAACGGGUGAGUAACACGUGAGCAACCUGCCCCGAAGUCUGGAAUAACAUCGGGAAACCGGUAGCUAAUACCGGAUUGCCCCACCUGACCGCAUGAUCGGGUGAGGAAAGAUUUAUCGCUUCGGGAGGGGCUCGCGGCCUAUCAGCUUGUUGGGGGGUGAUGGCCUACCAAGGCGACGACGGGUAGCCGGCCUGAGAGGGCGACCGGCCACACUGGGACUGAGACACGGCCCAGACUCCUACGGGAGGCAGCAGUGGGGAAUCUUGCGCAAUGGGCGAAAGCCUGACGCAGCGACGCCGCGUGAGGGAUGACGGCCU